Molecule: transfer RNA, 65 nt
Filed under: Tricula hortensis
Lineage: Eukaryota; Metazoa; Mollusca; Gastropoda; Littorinimorpha; Pomatiopsidae
Description: tRNA-Phe
Rfam family: tRNA
About the family: Transfer RNA (tRNA) molecules are approximately 80 nucleotides in length.
Source: RNAcentral
AUUCUGAUAGCUUAUGUAUAGAGCAUAGCACUGAAGAUGCUAAGGAAGCAGGCUGCUUUAGAAUA